This 74-nucleotide transfer RNA is filed under the name FCB group bacterium. Its description in RNAcentral is "tRNA-Trp". Lineage: Bacteria; Pseudomonadati. The record is from RNAcentral.
ACGUCCCCAUGUUCCAAGGCUGGCGAAUGAGUCUCCAAAACUCGUUGUGGAAGGUUCGAUUCCUUCGGGGCGUG